RNAcentral lists this unclassified non-coding RNA (211 nucleotides) under Hevea brasiliensis (rubber tree). The record is from RNAcentral. Lineage: Eukaryota; Viridiplantae; Streptophyta; Magnoliopsida; Malpighiales; Euphorbiaceae.
GGGCGAAUGAAGGAUGGAUCACGUUGGGCAUAAAGCAAACCAACCUCUAACAAUGCAAGAGUACAAGGAUCAUCAAAGAUCUCAAGGCUAUAGUCUGCCAGAUAAUUAACCCCAAAUUCCGUGUUAACUAGACAUUGAACAAAGUCCAUUAGUUGAAGCUUAGCCCAUUCCAAAUAAAGAGCAGGGUCGUCUCUCUUUGGAGGAUGCCUCC